GACUCAGACGGUAAAGAAUCUGCCUGCUAUGCAGGAGACCCAGGUUCAAUCCCUGGGUCA
This 60-nucleotide transfer RNA is filed under the name Bos taurus (domestic cattle). Lineage: Eukaryota; Metazoa; Chordata; Mammalia; Artiodactyla; Bovidae. RNAcentral also lists the same sequence under 3 other names. The record is from Rfam by way of RNAcentral.